UUUGACAUGAUCAAGGCACCUAGUUUUCGACUCUUCUCCCAGUUGCCUGAAAUCUCACCAUGGAAUUUGUUGUGACUAAGAUCAAUGAAAUCAAGAUGUGGGUAAACACCAAAAGCUUCAGAAAUAUCUCCAAUGAAUAUGUUCCCUAUGAAUCUUGCUCUAAUCAAGCUCUGACAAUUUUUCAAACUUUUUGGUAUAGGACCUUCGAGGUGAUUAUCAUCUAAUGAGAGAUAUUGAAGCUUCCCACCUUCACAAAUGUUUCCAGGCAAGAAACCAGUGAAGUUGUUUCUACCGAGUUGCAAGAUAGUCAACUUUGAAGAGUUUGAUACUCCUAGUGGAAUAAGACCAGAGAGGUGGUUAUCACUAAGGCACAACAAUUCCAGGUUGGUAAAGUUUCCAAAGGAAUUAGGAACAUAACCUAUAAGAUUGUUCUGACUUAUCGCCAACUGAAUCAUGGAUUCCAUGUUUCCUAGUUCCACGGGAAUGAAACCACUUAGAUAAUUCAUAUCAAGAUAAAGACCUGUCAAGCUCUUCAGGUUUCCUAAGGAAGAAGGAAUUGAACCCGAGA
RNAcentral lists this long non-coding RNA (568 nucleotides) under Capsella grandiflora. Its description in RNAcentral is "long non-coding RNA (CGRA_LNC000756)". Lineage: Eukaryota; Viridiplantae; Streptophyta; Magnoliopsida; Brassicales; Brassicaceae. The record is from RNAcentral.